CAGCAGUCGCCGCGGUAAUACGUAGGUGGCAAGCGUUGUCCGGAAUUAUUGGGCGUAAAGGGCUCGCAGGCGGUUUCUUAAGUCUGAUGUGAAAACCCCCGGCUCAACCGGGGAGGGUCAUUGGAAACUGGGAAACUUGAGUGCAGAAGAGGAGAGUGGAAUUCCACGUGUAGCGGUGAAAUGCGUAGAGAUGUGGAGGAACACCAGUGGCGAAGGCGACUCUCUGGUCUGUAACUGACGCUGAGGAGCGAAAGCGUGGGGAGCGAACAGGAUUAGAUACCCCGGUAGUCCCUGUCUCUUAUAC
This 304-nucleotide ribosomal RNA is filed under the name uncultured bacterium. RNAcentral's name for it is "partial 16S ribosomal RNA". It matches the Rfam family "Bacterial small subunit ribosomal RNA", at positions 509 to 807 of the family's 1533-position model. The record is from RNAcentral.